Molecule: long non-coding RNA, 215 nt
Filed under: Elaeis guineensis (African oil palm)
Lineage: Eukaryota; Viridiplantae; Streptophyta; Magnoliopsida; Arecales; Arecaceae
Description: long non-coding RNA (EGUI_LNC054693)
Source: RNAcentral
GAAUAUCCCUAAUAUUAUAUUUAUCAGACUAAAAUCUAAGCUAGUCGAUUUGCGAACAUUUUAUAUAAGUUCGAUACUUCAAAUAAGGGAGUAUCGAAUUACCCAAAUCCAUAUUUGAUAUGAAGAUUUGGUAAUCGAUUUGCUCAGAAUGUUCUUAAGUACAUAUCAAGUAGUCUCUAAAAUAUAAUCUCAGACAGACCAGCAAACCCCACAGU